GGAACAGUUCCUGGCUUAACGUUGAGCACUUGAAAGGCCAAAUGUUUAGGGUUCCAUUGCGAUGUGUCGGUGUGGCACACUGCCACAGAUUUAACUCUGAUCCCGUUAGCACCCACCAAAGGCACAGAGUAAGUUCUAGUGCUCUCAGUUUUGUGGCAGUAAAAAACAGCAUAAGGGUAAUUCUGCUUGUGGCAUACAACAGCCGUGUCCCCUGAUAUCUUCUUCACUCCCGGUGCCACCGUGUAUUUCUGCAACCCCAUUUCUUUGUCAACUUCUGUGGACAAAACC
Molecule: long non-coding RNA, 288 nt
Filed under: Phaseolus vulgaris (common bean)
Lineage: Eukaryota; Viridiplantae; Streptophyta; Magnoliopsida; Fabales; Fabaceae
Description: long non-coding RNA (PVUL_LNC001137)
Source: RNAcentral